This 307-nucleotide ribosomal RNA is filed under the name uncultured Acinetobacter sp. RNAcentral describes it as "bacterial SSU rRNA". It matches the Rfam family "Bacterial small subunit ribosomal RNA", at positions 1074 to 1388 of the family's 1533-position model. The record is from RNAcentral. Lineage: Bacteria; Pseudomonadati; Pseudomonadota; Gammaproteobacteria; Moraxellales; Moraxellaceae.
CGGCCGCGUCGACCGAGCGCAACCCUUUCCUUAUUGCCAGCGGGUUAAGCCGGGAACUUUAAGGAUACUGCCAGUGACAAACUGGAGGAAGGCGGGGACGACGUCAAGUCAUCAUGGCCCUUACGACCAGGGCUACACACGUGCUACAAUGGUCGGUACAAAGGGUUGCUACCACGCGAGUGGAUGCUAAUCUCAAAAAGCCGAUCGUAGUCCGGAUUGGAGUCUGCAACUCGACUCCAUGAAGUCGGAAUCGCUAGUAAUCGCGGAUCAGAAUGCCGCGGUGAAUACGUUCCCGGGCCUUGUACAC